This 465-nucleotide ribosomal RNA is filed under the name uncultured bacterium. Its description in RNAcentral is "partial 16S ribosomal RNA". It matches the Rfam family "Bacterial small subunit ribosomal RNA", at positions 338 to 795 of the family's 1533-position model. The record is from RNAcentral.
CCUACGGGAGGCUGCAGUGGGGAAUAUUGCGCAAUGGGCGAAAGCCUGAUGCAGCGACGCCGCGUGAGUGAUGAAGGUCUUCGGAUCGUAAACCUCUGUCAGCAGGGAAGAACGGUCACUGUGCUAAUCAGCAGUGAAUUGACGGUACCUGCACAGGAAGCACCGGCUAACUCCGUGCCAGCAGCCGCGGUAAUACGGAGGGUGCGAGCGUUAAUCGGAAUUACUGGGCGUAAGGCGCACGUAGGCGGUAUGUCAAGUCAAGGGUGAAAUCCCCGCGCUCAACGUGGGAACUGCAUUGGAAACUGGCAAGCUGGAGUGUGGGAGAGGAUAGUGGAAGUCCAGGUGUAGGGGUGAAAUCCGUAGAGAUCUGGAGGAACAUCAGUGGCGAAGGCGACUAUCUGGCACAUAACUGACGCUGAGGAGCGAAAGCGUGGGUAGCAAACAGGAUUAGAUACCCGAGUAGUC